UACGAAGGGGGCUAGCGUUGUUCGGAAUUACUGGGCGUAAAGCGCACGUAGGCGGACAUUUAAGUCAGGGGUGAAAUCCCAGAGCUCAACUCUGGAACUGCCUUUGAUACUGGGUGUCUAGAGUAUGGAAGAGGUGAGUGGAAUUCCGAGUGUAGAGGUGAAAUUCGUAGAUAUUCGGAGGAACACCAGUGGCGAAGGCGGCUCACUGGUCCAUUACUGACGCUGAGGUGCGAAAGCGUGGGAAGCAAACAGG
This 253-nucleotide ribosomal RNA is filed under the name uncultured bacterium. Its description in RNAcentral is "partial 16S ribosomal RNA". It matches the Rfam family "Bacterial small subunit ribosomal RNA", at positions 524 to 776 of the family's 1533-position model. The record is from RNAcentral.